UCUCAUCCUUGCGAUCGCUCUGCAUAUUAGUUUCUCUCAUUGCAAAAACUGGGUUAUUGCGGCUAUACGCUCGAUCAUGAAGGCCUUGCUGGUACUCUUUGUUGCUUUCUUGCUGGUCUCGGCAACUCUGCAAGCUGAUGCAAAAAGGAUUACUCUGGAGGAAAAGCACAAGUUGAUGGAGCAGCGUAACCUGCUGAGUGAUUCCAAAGCGUUCAUUUCAAAGGGGUGGGAUCAGCCUGAUCAUGAUGAUGAUGAUCGGGAAAAGAACCCCACUAAUGCUAAUUCUGGAAAUCCUAGCUCAAGUACUGGAAGUCACCAUGUUUAUCGGAAUGAUAGGGAACCUUAAAACUAAAGAAUACCAUGAAACUAGUACGUAUGUUGUGGCUUAUAACUUUGUGGAACUGGUAUGUUAGGUGCCAAAUUAUAUAUAAGAAUAGGCAUCAGAAAUAAUACUACACGUACGUACUAUAUACGUUUCAUGUAUAUCCGGUUUCCUCGAUCGGUCUUAGGCUUGCAAGGAAACUACUGUGUAUUUAAAUUAUGAUUAAAUAAAGAGACCAUGAGUCCACAUGACUAGCA
Long non-coding RNA from Pistacia vera, 579 nucleotides. RefSeq lists it as uncharacterized. The record is from RefSeq and is a predicted model, not a curated record. NCBI's taxonomy places the organism in Eukaryota, Viridiplantae, Streptophyta, Magnoliopsida, Sapindales, Anacardiaceae. The transcript is spliced from 2 exons.